This 442-nucleotide ribosomal RNA is filed under the name uncultured bacterium. RNAcentral's name for it is "partial 16S ribosomal RNA". It matches the Rfam family "Bacterial small subunit ribosomal RNA", at positions 338 to 795 of the family's 1533-position model. The record is from RNAcentral.
CCUACGGGGAGCAGCAGUCGGGAAUAUUGGGCAAUGGAGGAAACUCUGACCCAGCAAUACCGCGUGAAGGAUGAAGGUUUUCGGAUUGUAAACUUCUGUUAUAAAGGAAGAAAAAAAUGACGGUACUUUAUAAGUAAGCCCCGGCAAACUAUGUGCGAGCAGCCGCGGUGAUACAUAGGGGGCAAGCGUUAUCCGGAUUUAUUGGGUUUAAAGGGUGCGCAGGCGGAGGUGCAAGUCAGUGGUCAAAUUGCGGGGCUCAACCCCGUACUGCCGUUGAAACUGCAUCCCUUGAGUGCGCGAGAAGUAUGCGGAAUGCGUGGUGUAGCGGUGAAAUGCAUAGAUAUCACGCAGAACUCCGAUUGCGAAGGCAGCAUACCGGCGCGCAACUGACGCUCAUGCACGAAAGCGUGGGUAUCGAACAGGAUUAGAUACCCCUGUAGUC